This 473-nucleotide ribosomal RNA is filed under the name uncultured bacterium. RNAcentral's name for it is "bacterial SSU rRNA". It matches the Rfam family "Bacterial small subunit ribosomal RNA", at positions 30 to 507 of the family's 1533-position model. The record is from RNAcentral.
AUUGAACGCUGGCGGAAUGCUUUACACAUGCAAGUCGAACGGUAGAGGGGCAACCCUUGAGAGUGGCGAACGGGUGAGUAAUAUAUCGGAACCUACCCUGUACUGGGGGAUAGCCCGGAGAAAUUCGGAUUAAGACCCCAUAGCACUUAAGAAUGGCAUCAUUCAUAAGUUAAAGGUUACGGUACAGGAUGAGCAUGCGUCCCAUUAGCUAGAUGGUAAGGUAACGGCUUACCAUGGCGACGAUGGGUAGGGGUCCUGAGAGGGAGAUCCCCCACACUGGUACUGAGACACGGACCAGACUCCUACGGGAGGCAGCAGUGAGGAAUAUUGGACAAUGGGCGCAAGCCUGAUCCAGCCAUGCCGCGUGCAGGAUGACGGUCCUAUGGAUUGUAAACUGCUUUUGUACAGGAAGAAACACUCCCUCGUGAGGGAGCUUGACGGUACUGUAAGAAUAAGGAUCGGCUAACUCCGUG